CCAAUAGCGUAUAUUAAAGUUGUUGCAGUUAAAAAGCUCGUAGUUGAACUUCGGGAUCAAUUGAUAUGGUCAUGCCUUGGUAUGUACUGUUCAUAUUGGUUCUCACCUUCUAAUGAACCAUAAUGUCAUUCAUUUGAUGUUAUGGGGAAUUAGGACUGUUACCUUGAAAAAAUUAGAGUGUUUAAAGCAGGCUCACGCUUGAAUACAUUAGCAUGGAAUAAUGAAAUAGGACAUCGCAUUCUAUUUUGUUGGUUUCUAGGAUCGAUGUAAUGAUUAAUAGGGUUAGUUGGGGGCAUUAGUAUUCAAUUGUCAGAGGUGAAAUUCUUGGAUUUAUUGAAGACUAACUACUGCGAAAGCAUUUGCCAAGGAUGUUUUCAUUAAUCAAGAACGAAAGUUAGGGGAUCGAAGACGAUCAGAUACCGUCGUAGUCUUAACCAUAAACUAUGCCGACUAGGGAUCGGAUGAUGUUGAUUUUUUAAUGACUCAUUCGGCACCUUACG
RNAcentral lists this ribosomal RNA (500 nucleotides) under uncultured Glomus. Its description in RNAcentral is "SSU rRNA". It matches the Rfam family "Eukaryotic small subunit ribosomal RNA", at positions 591 to 1092 of the family's 1831-position model. The record is from RNAcentral. Lineage: Eukaryota; Fungi; Glomeromycota; Glomeromycetes; Glomerales; Glomeraceae.